GAUAGUGCCUAUAUAAAGGAUAUGUCUCUAAAAUUUUUAAAAAAUUAAUUUUUAGUAAAAAAUCUCUCUCUCUUCUUUUUUCAUGCCUCCUCUCCUCCCUCUCUUCCUUUCCACACCCAAGAGUUUGGCGUCCCCUCUUCCACACGCCAAGAGGUAGUGCUUGGUGACUUAGAGAUUGAAGAUCAAGGAGAAGAAGAAGAAGACUGCUGAUCAAGAAGUUGAUCUUAC
Molecule: long non-coding RNA, 228 nt
Filed under: Elaeis guineensis (African oil palm)
Lineage: Eukaryota; Viridiplantae; Streptophyta; Magnoliopsida; Arecales; Arecaceae
Description: long non-coding RNA (EGUI_LNC075740)
Source: RNAcentral